AGCGAACGCUGGCGGCAGGCUUAACACAUGCAAGUCGAACGCCCCGCAAGGGGAGUGGCAGACGGGUGAGUAACACGUGGGAACGUACCCUUUGGUUCGGAAUAACUUGGGGAAACUCAAGCUAAUGCCGGAUAAGCCCUUAUGGGGAAAGGUUUGCUGCCGAAGGAUCGGCCCGCGUCUGAUUAGCUAGUUGGUGAGGUAAUGGCUCACCAAGGCGACGAUCAGUAGCUGGUCUGAGAGGAUGACCAGCCACACUGGGACUGAGACACGGCCCAGACUCCUACGGGAGGCAGCAGUGGGGAAUAUUGGACAAUGGGGGCAACCCUGAUCCAGCCAUGCCGCGUGAGUGAUGAAGGCCUUAGGGUUGUAAAGCUCUUUUACCCGGGACGAUAAUGACUGUACCGGGAGAAUAAGCCCCGGCUAACUUCGUGCCAGCCGCCGCGGUAA
RNAcentral lists this ribosomal RNA (447 nucleotides) under uncultured bacterium. Its description in RNAcentral is "partial 16S ribosomal RNA". It matches the Rfam family "Bacterial small subunit ribosomal RNA", at positions 29 to 523 of the family's 1533-position model. The record is from RNAcentral.